RNAcentral lists this small nuclear RNA (114 nucleotides) under Meriones unguiculatus (Mongolian gerbil). The record is from RNAcentral. Lineage: Eukaryota; Metazoa; Chordata; Mammalia; Rodentia; Muridae.
GUGCUCGCUUCUGCAGCACAUAUACUAAAAUUGGAACGAUACAGAGAAGAUUAACAUGCCCCCUGAGCAAGGUAACCAGGUCUUCACGACAAGCCCUCAAGACAAGCAGUUUGU